UUCACAGUCGUGGAGUCCCUCAGAAGCCCAGACGUCAUUUCCCUCCUCUCUCCAUUCAGUCCUCCCACCUCGACUCAGUCCCUCAGACCUCGUCUCCCUCUCCCUCUCUUCUUCUCUCAUUCCAUGCCUCGAUGCAGUACCCUAACCCAAAACCCAGUCCCUCCGAAGAAAUGGUCUCAUUCAGUCCCUCAGAGGCCAUUCCCUAACCCUAAACAACUCUAGAUCUAACCCAAAACCUAACCAUUUGCAAAACCCUAACCCAAAUCAGAUCUGUUGCCCUGGCUCCACUCCAUUCGUCUUGGUUCGUGCUGCGUUGCUCUCUACAGCUCCGACAGUCGAAACCGUGAAGAUCCGCUGCAUCGGUGUGCGCCACAAGGCUCUGCCAGACAAAGCCUCUGUUUUCCCCCCUGCGAUUCUCUUUCUCUCCUCUGCACCUUUGCUCACCGUGGAACGUCCAGACCGACGCCUCUCGCUCUCGGUUUCCGACACCGGCAUGCAUAUAUUUAUCCGCUCACGUUCCCUUCGUAAUAUUUUUCUAGGGCUUGCUUACGCUUUCUAUUUUUAAUGACUGUUAUCUUUUUUUAAUUGAUUUUCCUGUUGGUUUCCGGGGUUCUUGCGGCGCUAGAACCUGAUUUUCAGGUUCCUUCAGAGUAAAGCGCGCAUUCAAAUUUGGCUUUUUGAGCAGCGAGACCUGAGGAUUGAGGGCCGGAUCAUUGUAUUAACAGGUUGGGCAUUUCGGCAUAGCUAAGGAGUAUUGUAGUCAUGGAUUUCAGAAUGUUGGUUUAGUUGCUGAGGGCUGGAACUUGUGAAUUGUAACUGCAAGAACAAUUUCAUUACUUGAUGUAUUUACAGCAAGACUUUUUUGGCAAA
Long non-coding RNA from Carya illinoinensis, 870 nucleotides. RefSeq lists it as uncharacterized. The transcript has 2 exons. The record is from RefSeq and is a predicted model, not a curated record. NCBI's taxonomy places the organism in Eukaryota, Viridiplantae, Streptophyta, Magnoliopsida, Fagales, Juglandaceae.